Molecule: unclassified non-coding RNA, 376 nt
Filed under: soil metagenome
Description: partial contains 5.8S ribosomal RNA, internal transcribed spacer 2, and large subunit ribosomal RNA
Rfam family: 5.8S ribosomal RNA (bases 1-120)
Source: RNAcentral
GAUGAAGAACGUAGCGAAAUGCGAUAAGUAAUGUGAAUUGCAGAAUUCAGUGAAUCAUCGAAUCUUUGAACGCAUCUUGCGCUCCUUGGUAUUCUGAGGAGCAUGCCUGUUUGAGUGUCAUUAAAUUCCCAACUACACUGACUUUGAAUUGGUGUGGCUUGGAUUUGGGGGGAAAAUUGUUGUGGGCUUUUUGUAUAGUCUGCUCCCCUGAAAUUGAUUAGCGGUACCUUUGUGGAACUGUCUACAGGUGUGAUAAUUAUCUACAUCUUAGACAUCUGCUGGAAUGCUGCUUUCUAAACCUUACUUGUAUUGACAAUCUUGACCUCAAAUCAGGUAGGACUACCCGCUGAACUUAAGCAUAUCAAUAAGCGGAGGA